Molecule: ribosomal RNA, 482 nt
Filed under: uncultured bacterium
Lineage: Bacteria
Description: partial 16S ribosomal RNA
Rfam family: Bacterial small subunit ribosomal RNA
Source: RNAcentral
AUUGAACGCUGGCGGCAUGCCUUACACAUGCAAGUCGAACGGUAACGGGCCUUCGGGUGCCGACGAGUGGCGAACGGGUGAGUAAUACAUCGGAACGUGCCCGAUCGUGGGGGAUAACGAGGCGAAAGCUUUGCUAAUACCGCAUACGAUCUACGGAUGAAAGCAGGGGACCGCAGGGCCUUGCGCGGACGGAGCGGCCGAUGGCAGAUUAGGUAGUUGGUGGGAUAAAAGCUUACCAAGCCGACGAUCUGUAGCUGGUCUGAGAGGAUGAUCAGCCACACUGGGACUGAGACACGGCCCAGACUCCUACGGGAGGCAGCAGUGGGGAGUUUUGGACAAUGGGCGCAAGCCUGAUCCAGCCAUGCCGCGUGCAGGAUGAAGGCCUUCGGGUUGUAAACUGCUUUUGUACGGAACGAAAAGCCUUCUUUUAAUACAGGAGGGUCAUGACGGUACCGUAAGAAUAAGCACCGGCUAACUACGUG